UGCAAGUCGAGCGGAAACGAUGAAGAGCUUGCUCUUUAGGCGUCGAGCGGCGGACGGGUGAGUAAUGCUUGGGAAUAUGCCUUAUGGUGGGGGACAACAGUUGGAAACGACUGCUAAUACCGCAUAACGUCUACGGACCAAAGGGGGGGAUCUUCGGACCUCUCGCCAUUUGAUUAGCCCAAGUGAGAUUAGCUAGUAGGUGAGGUAAGAGCUCACCUAGGCGACGAUCUCUAGCUGGUUUGAGAGGAUGAUCAGCCACACUGGGACUGAGACACGGCCCAGACUCCUACGGGAGGCAGCAGUGGGGAAUAUUGCACAAUGGGGGAAACCCUGAUGCAGCCAUGCCGCGUGUGUGAAGAAGGCCUUCGGGUUGUAAAGCACUUUCAGUUGUGAGGAAAGGGGUGUCGUUAAUAGCGGCAUUCUGUGACGUUAACAACAGAAGAAGCACCGGCUAACUUCGUGCCAGCAGCCGCGGUAAUACGAGGGGUGCAAGCGUUAAUCGGAAUUACUGGGCGUAAAGCGUACGUAGGCGGUCUAUUAAGCAAGAUGUGAAAGCCCAGGGCUCAACCUUGGAACUGCAUUUUGAACUGGUAGACUAGAGUACUGUAGA
Molecule: ribosomal RNA, 610 nt
Filed under: uncultured bacterium
Lineage: Bacteria
Description: bacterial SSU rRNA
Rfam family: Bacterial small subunit ribosomal RNA
Source: RNAcentral